Molecule: ribosomal RNA, 468 nt
Filed under: uncultured bacterium
Lineage: Bacteria
Description: partial 16S ribosomal RNA
Rfam family: Bacterial small subunit ribosomal RNA
Source: RNAcentral
GACGAACGCUGGCGGCGUGCUUAACACAUGCAAGUCGAACGGAAAGGCCCUGCUUUUGUGGGGUGCUCGAGUGGCUAACGGGUGAGUAACACGUGAGUAACCUGCCCUUGACUUUGGGAUAACUUCAGUAAACUGGGGCUAAUACCGGAUAUGAGCUCCUGCUGCAUGGUGGGGGUUGGAAAGUUUCGGCGGUUGGGGAUGGACUCGCGGCUUAUCAGCUUGUUGGUGGGGUAGUGGCUUACCAAGGCUUUGACGGGUAGCCGGCCUGAGAGGGUGACCGGCCACAUUGGGAAUGAGAUACGGCCCAGACUCCUACGGGAGGCAGCAGUGGGGAAUAGUGCACAAUGGGCGGAAGCCUGAUGCAGCAACGACGCGUGCGGGAUGACGGCCUUCGGGUUGUAAACCGCUUUCGCCUGUGACGAAGCGUGAGUGACGGUAAUGGGUAAAGAAGCACCGGCUAACUACGUG